This 301-nucleotide signal recognition particle RNA is filed under the name Saimiri boliviensis boliviensis (Bolivian squirrel monkey). Its description in RNAcentral is "Metazoan signal recognition particle RNA (ENSSBOG00000015171.1)". It matches the Rfam family "Metazoan signal recognition particle RNA". Rfam says of the family: The signal recognition particle (SRP) is a universally conserved ribonucleoprotein. It is involved in the co-translational targeting of proteins to membranes. The eukaryotic SRP consists of a 300-nucleotide 7S RNA and six proteins: SRPs 72, 68, 54, 19, 14, and 9. Lineage: Eukaryota; Metazoa; Chordata; Mammalia; Primates; Cebidae. The record is from RNAcentral.
GCCAGGUGCGGUGGCAUGUGGUGCUUGUAGUCCCAGCUACUCCAGAGGCUGAGGUGGGAGGAUCGCUUGAGCCCAGGAGUUCUGGGCUGUAGUGCGCUAUGCCAGUCAGGUGUCCAUACUAAGUUUGGCAUCAAUAUGGUGACCUUCCGGGAGUGGGGACGACCAGGUUGCCUAAGGAGGGGUGAUCUGGCCCACGUUGGAAAUGGAGUAGGUCAAAACUCCUGCGCUGAUCAGUAGUGGGAUUGCACCUGCAAAUAGCCACGGCACUCCAGCCUGGGCAACAUAGUGAGACCCCGUCUCU